This is a long non-coding RNA of Hemibagrus wyckioides, 452 nucleotides long. RefSeq lists it as uncharacterized. Lineage: Eukaryota; Metazoa; Chordata; Actinopteri; Siluriformes; Bagridae. The record is from RefSeq and is a predicted model, not a curated record. The transcript has 4 exons.
UUUAGGAAUCAACAUGCUCUGAUGCUAAUCGCUUUAGCCUCCCCACACAGCCAUGAGUCCUGUAUUAGCUCUUCAGUCUGUUGAAGCCCAAGAACAUGGUGGACAUCUUGGUGCUUCAGUACUUCGCUGAAUCUCAGGCUUCAGACAGGAUUAAUAGGAGCUCAUGAGGGCCCUGGUGGCUUAGUGGUAGGUUUCUCACUUACUAUGUGGAAGGCCCGGUUUGAUUUCCAGCCACUGGUUGUAGUGCUGGUCCCAAGCACAGAAAAUGGUCAGCAAUCAACAAUGGGACCUCAUGGGCACCUGAGCAUUAUUACUGCAGAUGAGUCGUCUAUGGUGGAGAUGAGGAGAACCAAAACCUGACUUGCACAACUGAAGACCACCUAAAGCGAUUCUGCUUGAGUGUCUGCAAUGAUCCACUUGGUGUUUUCCUGAAUAAAAUCUUCUGUUUGAAA